GACAGAGGGUGCAAACGUUGUUCGGAAUUACUGGGCGUAAAGCGUGUGUAGGCGGCCACGUAAGUCGGAUGUGAAAGCCCCGGGCUCAACUCGGGAAGUGCACUCGAUACUGCGUGGCUUGAGGACUGGAGAGGAGACUGGAAUUCAUGGUGUAGCAGUGAAAUGCGUAGAGAUCAUGAGGAAGACCAGUGGCGAAGGCGGGUCUCUGGACAGUUCCUGACACUGAGACACGAAGGCCAGGGGAGCAAACGGG
This 253-nucleotide ribosomal RNA is filed under the name uncultured bacterium. RNAcentral describes it as "partial 16S ribosomal RNA". It matches the Rfam family "Bacterial small subunit ribosomal RNA", at positions 524 to 776 of the family's 1533-position model. The record is from RNAcentral.